Molecule: transfer RNA, 77 nt
Filed under: Aridibacter famidurans
Lineage: Bacteria; Pseudomonadati; Acidobacteriota; Blastocatellia; Blastocatellales; Blastocatellaceae
Also listed under: 12 other names
Description: tRNA-Asp
Rfam family: tRNA
About the family: Transfer RNA (tRNA) molecules are approximately 80 nucleotides in length. Their secondary structure includes four short double-helical elements and three loops (D, anti-codon, and T loops).
Source: RNAcentral
GGAGUCGUAGUUCAGUUGGUUAGAACGCCAGCCUGUCACGUUGGAGGUCGCGGGUUCGAGUCCCGUCGGCUCCGCCA